Molecule: ribosomal RNA, 430 nt
Filed under: Pseudomonadota bacterium
Lineage: Bacteria; Pseudomonadati; Pseudomonadota
Description: Proteobacteria bacterium partial 16S ribosomal RNA
Rfam family: Bacterial small subunit ribosomal RNA
Source: RNAcentral
UGGGGAAUAUUGGACAAUGGGGGGAACCCUGAUCCAGCCAUGCCGCGUGUGUGAAGAAGGCCUUAUGGUUGUAAAGCACUUUAAGCGAGGAGGAGGGUACUGGUAUUAAUACUACCAGGUACUGGACGUUACUCGCAGAAUAAGCACCGGCUAACUCUGUGCCAGCAGCCGCGGUAAUACAGAGGGUGCGAGCGUUAAUCGGAUUUACUGGGCGUAAAGCGUGCGUAGGCGGCUAAUUGAGUCGGAUGUGAAAUCCCCGAGCUUAACUUGGGAAUUGCAUUCGAUACUGGUUAGCUAGAGUGUGGGAGAGGAUGGUAGAAUUCCAGGUGUAGCGGUGAAAUGCGUAGAGAUCUGGAGGAAUACCGAUGGCGAAGGCAGCCAUCUGGCCUAACACUGGCGCUGAGGUACGAAAGCAUGGGGAGCAAACAGG